UCCCGGCUAUAAACAACAUAAUUAUAUCAGAGAACUACGAAUACAAAAUUUAAAACUCAAAGAACUUGGCGGUGUUUUAGACCACCCAGGGGAACCUGUUUCAUAAUCGAUAAUCCACGUUAUACCUAACUUUUUUUAAGUCUGUAUACCGUCGUCGUCAGGUAACUUCACAGAAAUUAAAAGUCAGCAACCAAAAUUUUAUUUAUGACCCCAGAUCAAAGUACAACCAAUAAAAAAGAGAAAAUGGGUUACAAUUAUAUAAUUUAUAGCCACAAAAUAAAUGAAAUCCUUCGCUUUAAAAGUAGGACUUGGAAGUAAAUUCAUUUUAUAAAAAUGAAUUGAAUAAGGCUCUGAAACAUGC
Molecule: ribosomal RNA, 361 nt
Filed under: Belloliva exquisita
Lineage: Eukaryota; Metazoa; Mollusca; Gastropoda; Neogastropoda; Olividae
Description: partial 12S ribosomal RNA
Source: RNAcentral